UAGCUCCUUCUAGAGAGCCUAGUACAAGGUCCAUAUCCAGGGCGAGUUCGAGCUCCAUAUCCAGUGCAAAUUCUCCAAUCCACGAGCAGAUUCUUCGACUUGAAGGUUUUACAGUAAAUGAACCUGACUGGGAGAGAUUACUGCCACCUGAUUAUGAAAACAUCAUCUCCAGAUCCGUGAAUCGUGUAACCUAUGCUACCAAGAACGACCUCUACUUAAGUCUCUGCGAAUCUCCUAUUUUACUUGACGGUGGAAAAAUGGUAACAUUCUCGUGUGUGUUUAUUAAUAUUUUUAUCUUAGUUUGCAUAUUUAUGGAAACGGAAACAGAAACCAAAUGCGAGCAAAUGUUAAUUGAAAAAUAAAGAUUUCUUUUUAUGAAUAAUGAUAUUUAAUAUUCAUUUGAACUCUAAUAGCUUGUUAAUAUUUUGAGUUAAAAGCAUGCAAUUGUACAAACUUUUAAUUGAACCACGUAUAAGUAAAUUCUUAAGUGAAAUCCGCUACAAAGUCCUGGAUGAAGUUAUCUCAUUUUGACGAUGAAUAUGCAGAGCUUUCAUCUUGAUAAAAGAACAGGGAAGAAAUGUUAUAUGAUUGGAGCAAAGGAACUCAAAAUUACCUGGGGUGACAUCCCGAAGUACUGGGAAUGGAAGUCUCAGAUAGAUUCCAGGUCCUUCACCUUGCACACCUUUUGCGUUUUUAUAAUUUUGGGGCAUGUAAACUGAAGGAAUCAGUAUGUAUAUAUAAAUGCGUUGAUGAAAAACUUAUUGGUGAACUUUUUCCUUUGCGGGCCCCCUCUUUGGACCAAAUCCGCCCACAUUAGGAUCAAUUGGUUUAUCAAACUGGAUGGAUUAACCCUCUGGCUUUUUAAAAGCACUUUUUCACUCUUUCAUGUAUUAGGGGAUUUCACCUGGAAAAGAAAAUGUGCCAUACUAAUGGUUUUUGUUUCUACGGAGUCAACUCUAUCUCAUCAAUGAAAUUAUCUCUCCCACUGUGGUUAUGCAGAUUC
RNAcentral lists this long non-coding RNA (1003 nucleotides) under Olea europaea (common olive). Its description in RNAcentral is "long non-coding RNA (OEUR_LNC008205)". Lineage: Eukaryota; Viridiplantae; Streptophyta; Magnoliopsida; Lamiales; Oleaceae. The record is from RNAcentral.